UGGGGAAUUUUGGACAAUGGGGGCAACCCUGAUCCAGCCAUUCCGCGUGAGUGAAGAAGGCCUUCGGGUUGUAAAGCUCGGUCAGCUGGAACGAAACGGUACGCUCUAACAUAGCGUGCUAAUGACGGUACCGGCAGAAGAAGCACCGGCUAACUACGUG
RNAcentral lists this ribosomal RNA (160 nucleotides) under uncultured bacterium. RNAcentral's name for it is "partial 16S ribosomal RNA". It matches the Rfam family "Bacterial small subunit ribosomal RNA", at positions 355 to 507 of the family's 1533-position model. The record is from RNAcentral.